ACUCCUACGGGAGGCAGCAGUGGGGAAUAUUGCACAAUGGGGAAACCCUGAUGCAGCCAUGCCGCGUGUGUGAAGAAGGCCUUCGGUUGUAAAGCACUUUCAGUAGGGAGGAAGGUAGUGUAGUUAACACCUGCAUUAUUUGACGUUACCUACAGAAGAAGCACCGGCUAACUCCGUGCCAGCAGCCGCGGUAAUACGGAGGGGUGCGAGCGUUAAUCGGAAUUACUGGGCGUAAAGCGCAUGCAGGCGGCCUGUUAAGUCAGAUGUGAAAGCCCGGGGGCUUAACCUCGGAAUUGCAUUUGAAACUGGCAGGCUAGAGUCUUGUAGAGGGGGUAGAAUUUCAGGUGUAGCGGUGAAAUGCGUAGAGAUCUGAAGGAAUACCAGUGGCGAAGGCGGCCCCCUGGACAAAGACUGACGCUCAGAUGCGAAAGCGUGGGAGCAAACAGGAUUAGAUACCCUGGUAGCACAGAG
RNAcentral lists this ribosomal RNA (471 nucleotides) under uncultured bacterium. RNAcentral describes it as "bacterial SSU rRNA". It matches the Rfam family "Bacterial small subunit ribosomal RNA", at positions 335 to 799 of the family's 1533-position model. The record is from RNAcentral.